RNAcentral lists this ribosomal RNA (254 nucleotides) under uncultured bacterium. RNAcentral describes it as "partial 16S ribosomal RNA". It matches the Rfam family "Bacterial small subunit ribosomal RNA", at positions 524 to 776 of the family's 1533-position model. The record is from RNAcentral.
UACAGAGGGUGCGAGCGUUGUCCGGAAUCACUGGGCGUAAAGGGCGCGUAGGUGGUGGUUUAAGCGUGCGGUGAAAGCUCGGAGCUCAACUCCGAGUCGGCCGUGCGAACUGGGCUCACUGGAGCAUAGUAGAGGCAGGUGGAAUUCCGGGUGUAGCGGUGGAAUGCGUAGAGAUCCGGAAGAACACCGGUGGCGAAGGCGAGUCCCUGGACAACUUCUGACGCUGAGGCACGAAAGCUAGGGGAGCAAACAGG